CAGGCAGUGUGCCUGCGGUGGUCUACCCGAUCAGCAAAGACCUCGCCCUGCUUCGAUUACCUUUGUUACCACCCCCCACUUCCCCGCCCCCAAUCCUCCCGAAGAAACCAAUGUGAACCACAAUUCUGCACCUACGGGACCACGAGUUUCUGUGAUGGCUGAGGAAAGAACCGCUGAGAAGGACCCUGAUGUGGGAAGGUUCACAUUACUUGGUGUCAAAAGGGGUAUUUGAAGGAGUUGAAUCCCUAAAGAACUAACGAUCCUGGGAAUCAUGCCUGGUACCCACUUGAUCCCCUUGUGUUCUCCACUCUUUUGGUCUGGUAAGUCUCCUCUCAGAUUCAAGCUCAUUCCUUUUGAUUGAGCUCUCCAGCUUUUUAGGGGGAUCUGUUUUUGUUUUCUUGACACUAUAGCCCUCUGUGUGAGCACUCAUUUGUUUUCUGAACCUCUGGUUUUGACAUAUAGAAUCUCGAUUCUCUAAAUUCUCUCAGGAGAGUCCUCUUCUGGGACCACGGCUUACUUUGUGUUCAAAAACUUUUGCAUAUUUUCAACUAAAUGGACCAACUUAAUAAAAAAUAGUUUAGAACUCCAGUGGUCACUAUGGGGAACUUUCAAGCUCUUCAUUACUGAUAACUGUACAUGUAUUAAACCACUGGUCUGUGGAUAAAAUAAUAAUGUUUAUGAAUCAAUACUGGUGAGGAAAUAUUAAUAAGGCCUCAUGAAGUGCCUACUUUGCUUGUCCCACCUGUUCUAAAUGUACUCCUGGGCAACUGUCUGCACUGCCCCUGAAUACUUUAUUUAAAAAAAAUUUUAACAUUAAAACAUUUUAAAUUUUAUAUUGGCGUAUAGUUGAUUUACAGUAUUGUGUUUCAGGUGUACAGCAAAGUGAUUCAGAUAUACAUGUAUCUAUUCAAAUUCUUUUUUCUGAACAUAUAUGAAAUGAUAUUUAUUAUAUGAAAUUGGCUUAAGCAAUAUGGUGGCUAGUAAGUGCAAAUCUGCUGCCCUUUGUGAACAAGCCUGAUAAGCAGUCUCCAGCCACCCCUCAAUCACUUAAAAUUGCUCAACUGACCAUUCAAAUUUUUGGCAAAUAAAUUUUAUACAACUCCCCUGUCUCAUGGAUAUAUAAUAAAUAUAUUUUGUCAGACAUUUAUAAUGUCUAUUUUUGUUAUAUUUUAUAUUGGACUCUUAAUUCAGUGAUACAAUAAAGGAAGGGUAUGAGGAAAUAGACUCUUCUAUUUUUUUCAAGGGAGUACAAAUUGGUAUGAUAGAAAAGGAAGGCAAUUUACCAGCAUCUGUUAAAACUAUAACUGUAGCACGGACACAACUGAAACGACUGAGCAUGCCUGCAUGGCAUUUUGGCCUAGGAACCCC
RNAcentral lists this long non-coding RNA (1368 nucleotides) under Bos grunniens (domestic yak). Its description in RNAcentral is "lncRNA (ENSBGRG00000001469.1)". The record is from RNAcentral. Lineage: Eukaryota; Metazoa; Chordata; Mammalia; Artiodactyla; Bovidae.